GCUGUCUGUAAUCCACCAAGCGACUGAACUCAUCCACUGCGAGUUGUGGGGCAGCCAUGCUUCUCUACAAGGAUACAGAUACCAAGAGAAAGAACCCAUUCUGCAGGUGGAGAAAAAGAGGACUCUGGGGUCUGUUACCUGAGUUUCCAGCUGUCUCCUGAGCCAGGUUCAGCACCUUCCUCUGUCUCGUAGCAAAUCAGCCCCUGGAUUCAGCGAGAUAUCCUGAGAGCCUACAAGUAACUUUGGCUGCCCACCUGUAUUCUUUUUCUUAUUUGUUAUUAAUUUAUGUUGAGACGGAGUCUCGCUCUGUCGCCCAGGCUGGAGUGCAAUGGCGUGAUCUCAGCUCACUGCAACCUCCACCUACCGGGUUCAAGCAAUUCUCCUGCCUCAGCUUCCUGAGUAGCUGGGACUACAGGUGCCCAUCACCACGCCUGGCUAAUUUUUGUAUUUUUAGUAGAGACAGGAUUUCACCAUGUUGGCCUGGUUGAUCUCAAACUCCUGACCUCAGGUGACCCGCCUGCCUUUGCCUUCCAAAGUGCUGGGAUUAUAGGCGUGAGCCACGCCCCGGGUCCCAUAUUCUUUUUCUUUGCAAAAGAUUCAGCUGAAGUUCGUUUCUGUAACUCAUACCAGAAAGCCUUUGCUAAGACAGGUGAGCAAUUUAUCUAAUCUCACUCAACUUCAAUGUAUUUGUGGAAGGAGGCUGCUAAUAGGUACCUCAUUCACUGGUAAAGAGCUAAGUGAGAUAAUGUGCGUAAAUACUUAGGGCAAUGUCCAGCACACAUUAAAAUCACCCUUUCAAGUCAUAGGAAUGAGUUCUUUAUCACCCUGGGCUGUGGUAAUCACCUGUGCGUUCCAGGUCA
RNAcentral lists this long non-coding RNA (860 nucleotides) under Homo sapiens (human). Its description in RNAcentral is "HSALNT0123927". Lineage: Eukaryota; Metazoa; Chordata; Mammalia; Primates; Hominidae. The record is from RNAcentral.